UGGCUCAGGACGAACGGCUGGCGGCGUGCCUAAUACAUGCAAGUCGAACGGUCUUUCUAUGGAAGCUUGCUUCCACUGAGAAGAUAGUGGCGAACGGGUGAGUAACACGUGGGUAACCUGCCCAUAAGAGGGGGAUAACAUCCGGAAACGGGUGCUAAUACCGCAUAGUUUUCUUGAUCGCAUGAUUGAGAAAGGAAAGACGGCCUUUGUGCUGUCGCUUAUGGAUGGACCCGCGGCGUAUUAGUUAGUUGGUGAGGUAACGGCUCACCAAGACGAUGAUACGUAGCCGACCUGAGAGGGUGAUCGGCCACAUUGGGACUGAGACACGGCCCAAACUCCUACGGGAGGCAGCAGUAGGGAAUCUUCCGCAAUGGACGAAAGUCUGACGGAGCAACGCCGCGUGAGUGAAGAAAGGUUUUCGGAUCGUAAAACUCUGUUGUCAGAGAAGAACAAGUUGGAGAGUAACUGCUCCAGCCUUGACGGUAUCUGACCAGAAAGCCACGGCUAACUACGUGCCAGCAGCGGC
RNAcentral lists this ribosomal RNA (526 nucleotides) under uncultured bacterium. RNAcentral's name for it is "bacterial SSU rRNA". It matches the Rfam family "Bacterial small subunit ribosomal RNA", at positions 20 to 518 of the family's 1533-position model. The record is from RNAcentral.